Long non-coding RNA from Artibeus jamaicensis (Jamaican fruit-eating bat), 923 nucleotides. RefSeq lists it as uncharacterized. The record is from RefSeq and is a predicted model, not a curated record. The transcript is spliced from 3 exons. Lineage: Eukaryota; Metazoa; Chordata; Mammalia; Chiroptera; Phyllostomidae.
UCCUCCCCCCUCCUCUCUGCUCCACACAAACCCGUUCCCCUCCCAUUUGCUAUUUCAUCCACAGAAUAUCUGAACAAAACCGAAAGAAAGCCAGAUGGACUGACGCUAAAAGUAUGUAAAGGCUGCUAUUCCGAUGAUUUCAGGAGAAAAACAUUUUCACGAUGAAGAGACUGAAAAACCAGGCCCACUUGGGUUUAAGAUUCCUCCUGCUACAAGCACACAGAAACACACCGAAGUGUAAAAAACUUAGUUGAUUCUGGGUUGAUUUCUGGCUGGAGGCUGACAGAACUGACUGAAGGGAAAGGAGAGGCAGGGCGUGCAGCGGGGAAUGAAGCGCUUUUGCCCUGCGUUUUCUUUCUUCCUGAAGGCAGUCAAAUCAGGGAAAGGGGGAAAAAAUAAAAUAAAAUAAAUGACCCAACGCCAGGUGAAGGUGCGCCACACUGCUUUGCCCAGACCGACGGAGAAACACGUCUCGGCCGCCUCCCCGACGCGAAAACCUGAACUACAUUUUCCCUCACACACGCUCAUGCGGGGAGAUUUCCGUCUAGUUCAUUGUUCUGCCCGGUGUGACACGGACUUUGCCUCUGGACCCCCCUCUCGUCACCUGGCCCCGCACGUUCCGACUGCACAGCCCCCCGGAAUCGGAGACCCGCGAAGAAUAAAGGAGCGCGGGGUGGGAGCGGAGAGGGACGCCGCGGGAGCUGUGCGGGCAGAGUGCAACGGAGACCGGCUGGAAGGCUUACAGAGUGGUUCUUGCCUGCCACCCACACGCUGUUGUCCCGUGGCCCGCCUCACCCUAGACGGCUGACUUUCUUCUGUGAUACGUUUGAUUUGAGAGAGAGAGGAAAUGAGGGAGGAAGAGAGAGAGAGAGAAACAUCGAUCAGUUACCUUUUCUAUGCUCCUUGACUGGGGAUCACACGCA